ACACGAAGAGGACCCUGAAACUGGCAGAAAUAGACUGCAAUUUGCCCGUUACCCUAACAUUUAAAAGGAGGUCAAAUAGUUUUACAGGGGAGGGCAUAGUAAUUCGCACAUUCAAACAGGCUGGGGAAUGUUCCUGCCUCGGGAUGAGGAAGAGGGAGGCCGGGGUCCAGGAUUAGAUAGAGACCUAUAUGUCUCACAGGAGACACCUCCAGCCGGGAACAAAAGAUGCAGGAUCGGGACCCCCAAGAGCCUGCAGAUGAGUGAGUGGAAAGGCCGCAGAUCUGGGAAUCCCCUCCACACACAGUCCUUCCUCAAUUUAGAAACAGAGCUUCCCCAAUUUAACCAAGCAUUCUUAUGCUCCAGAGCCACAGGCCUAGCUCUUCCAGCUCCCCCAGACACCAACCAAAGGCCAUUGUCCUCUUGCUCACCAGCCUAGACCCUCUUCUGGCAUGGAGCCCGGUGCACAUUCCCAACUACCAGCUACUAUGACCACGGGCCUUCCCGUACCUCAAGACCUGGCACUGAUCACCUGUCUAGCUGACAUUCGGCAUUGAGGACUGUCCCCUCCCACUCCUGAACAGAGGGCAGGGGGAAAAAAAGUCCAGGGUUCAGAUGGGAGGGGCAGGAAUGGGCUGCUCCUGGGAUCCAGUUUGAAGGCUAGGGGCUGAAGGGAACCAGAGACCAAGUGUGAGCAAGAAUUCAGCCCCCUAGGAUCUAGAGGACACAGGCUAGCCCCCCAGCUUGCAGGGGUGAGGGCAGUAAGGAGGAGCAUUCUGAGUAAGUGGCCACAAGGAGGAGGGAUGAUCCGCGGAAACCUGAGCGCAGAGGCUCAGAGCUGCAGCCAACGCCGAGCCAGCAGGACCCUAGCGGCUUCCCCUGCACCGGCUCCUGCCAAGCGCUUCCACGCCUCGCUGCGUUUAAGGAACCGAAAUAUUGGAAGCGGCCCCCAAGGGAAGCAGAUGCUCGACUUUCACAUCCACCAACUAAAAUCUCAUCUGACCCGAAAGAAGAGUGAGAGUUCACAGCUCCAAACCGCUCCUUACAGAGCAGGUGGCAGUUUAGGAACGUUAUUCGGUGCAUGGACCUGUCACAGGUUAGUUAAUGUCCCAGCAGGGUUUGGGGCAGCACUCUACAGCCAUGUUCAUUUGCAUUUUUGCACGAAAACAUGAAUAUUCACGAUGCGUGAGAAGAAGGGGCACACAACGACCUCAGUUAAGAAAUCAUUUGGGCUCUGCGCGACUGUGACCUCCCUCCCGUCCCCUCGCUCGCGGCGACCUACCUGC
Peromyscus leucopus (white-footed mouse) is the source of this 1283-nucleotide long non-coding RNA. RefSeq lists it as uncharacterized. The transcript is spliced from 3 exons. Lineage: Eukaryota; Metazoa; Chordata; Mammalia; Rodentia; Cricetidae. The record is from RefSeq and is a predicted model, not a curated record.